Molecule: transfer RNA, 65 nt
Filed under: Omalium rivulare
Lineage: Eukaryota; Metazoa; Arthropoda; Insecta; Coleoptera; Staphylinidae
Description: tRNA-Leu
Source: RNAcentral
GUUACUUUGGCAGAUUAGUGCUUUAAAUUUAGAAUUUAAUUAUGAAUAGGUUUAUUCAAGUAAUA